GUCCACGCCGUAAACGGUGGGUACUAGGUGUGGGUUUCCUUCCUUGGGAUCCGUGCCGUAGCUAACGCAUUAAGUACCCCGCCUGGGGAGUACGGCCGCAAGGCUAAAACUCAAAGAAAUUGACGGGGGCCCGCACAAGCGGCGGAGCAUGUGGAUUAAUUCGAUGCAACGCGAAGAACCUUACCUGGGUUUGACAUGCACAGGACGACUGCAGAGAUGUGGUUUCCCUUGUGGCCUGUGUGCAUGUGGUGCAUGGCUGUCGU
This 263-nucleotide ribosomal RNA is filed under the name uncultured bacterium. RNAcentral describes it as "partial 16S ribosomal RNA". It matches the Rfam family "Bacterial small subunit ribosomal RNA", at positions 793 to 1055 of the family's 1533-position model. The record is from RNAcentral.